Molecule: ribosomal RNA, 402 nt
Filed under: bacterium
Lineage: Bacteria
Description: partial 16S ribosomal RNA
Rfam family: Bacterial small subunit ribosomal RNA
Source: RNAcentral
UGGGGAAUUUUGCACAAUGGGGGAAACCCUGAUGCAGCGACGCCGCGUGAUUUAGAAGGCCUUCGGGUUGUAAAAAUCUUUUCUAUGGGAAGAAAAUGACAGUACCAUAGGAAUAAGGACAGGCUAAUUACGUGCCAGCAGCCGCGGUAAUACGUAAGGUCCGAGCGUUGUCCGGAAUCAUUGGGCGUAAAGGGUACGUAGGCGGGUAAGCAAGUUAGAAGUGAAAUCCUAUAGCUCAACUAUAGUAAGCUUUUAAAACUGCUCAUCUUGAGGUAUGGAGGGGAAGGUGGAAUUCCUAGUGUAGCGGUGAAAUGCGCAGAUAUUAGGAGGAAUACCGGUGGCGAAGGCAACUUUCUGGCCAUAACCUGACGCUGAGGUACGAAAGCGUGGGUAGCAAACAGG